AGUUUGAUCCUGGCUCAGGAUGAACGCUAGCUACAGGCUUAACACAUGCAAGUCGAGGGGCAGCAUGGUCUUAGCUUGCUAAGGCUGAUGGCGACCGGCGCACGGGUGAGUAACACGUAUCCAACCUGCCGUCUACUCUUGGCCAGCCUUCUGAAAGGAAGAUUAAUCCAGGAUGGGAUCAUGAGUUCACAUGUCCGCAUGAUUAAAGGUAUUUUCCGGUAGACGAUGGGGAUGCGUUCCAUUAGAUAGUAGGCGGGGUAACGGCCCACCUAGUCAACGAUGGAUAGGGGUUCUGAGAGGAAGGUCCCCCACAUUGGAACUGAGACACGGUCCAAACUCCUACGGGAGGCAGCAGUGAGGAAUAUUGGUCAAUGGGCGAUGGCCUGAACCAGCCAAGUAGCGUGAAGGAUGACUGCCCUAUGGGUUGUAAACUUCUUUUAUAAAGGAAUAAAGUCGGGUAUGCAUACCCGUUUGCAUGUACUUUAUGAAUAAGGACCGGCUAACUCCGUGCCAGCAGCCGCGGUAAUACGGAGGAUCCGAGCGUUAUCCGGAUUUAUUGGGUUUAAAGGGGGCGUAGAUGGAUGUUUAAGUCAGUUGUGAAAGUUUGCGGCUCAACCGUAAAAUUGCAGUUGAUACUGGAUGUCUUGAGUGCAGUUGAGGCAGGCGGAAUUCGUGGUGUAGCGGUGAAAUGCUUAGAUAUCACGAAGAACUCCGAUUGCGAAGGCAGCCUGCUAAGCUGCAACUGACAUUGAGGSUCGAAAGUGUGGGUAUCAAACAGGAUUAGAUACCCUGGUAGUCCACACGGUAAACGAUGAAUACUCGCUGUUUGCGAUAUACGGCAAGCGGCCAAGCGAAAGCGUUAAGUAUUCCACCUGGGGAGUACGCCGGCAACGGUGAAACUCAAAGGAAUUGACGGGGGCCCGCACAAGCGGAGGAACAUGUGGUUUAAUUCGAUGAUACGCGAGGAACCUUACCCGGGCUUAAAUUGCACUCGAAUGAUCCGGAAACGGUUCAGCUAGCAAUAGCGAGUGUGAAGGUGCUGCAUGGUUGUCGUCAGCUCGUGCCGUGAGGUGUCGGCUUAAGUGCCAUAACGAGCGCAACCCUUGUUGUCAGUUACUAACAGGUGAUGCUGAGGACUCUGACAAGACUGCCAUCGUAAGAUGUGAGGAAGGUGGA
This 1176-nucleotide ribosomal RNA is filed under the name uncultured Bacteroides sp. Its description in RNAcentral is "bacterial SSU rRNA". It matches the Rfam family "Bacterial small subunit ribosomal RNA", at positions 10 to 1177 of the family's 1533-position model. Lineage: Bacteria; Pseudomonadati; Bacteroidota; Bacteroidia; Bacteroidales; Bacteroidaceae. The record is from RNAcentral.